This is a long non-coding RNA of Selaginella moellendorffii, 394 nucleotides long. RefSeq lists it as uncharacterized. The transcript has 2 exons. The record is from RefSeq and is a predicted model, not a curated record. NCBI's taxonomy places the organism in Eukaryota, Viridiplantae, Streptophyta, Lycopodiopsida, Selaginellales, Selaginellaceae.
GUAAGCUUGUGCUCUCAAGCUGGGUGGCCGAGAUGAAAAGGCUGCUAAAUGGUGGGGCUGGAACAUAGCUUAUGGUGGAGCUGGAACUUGGAACCCAUGCUGUCCAAGCUGGCCAACAAUGCGAAGGACUUAUUUUCCGUAUGGUUCCUGUAUGGCGGAGGGCAACAUGGGAAUGUGGAUUCAUCUGCAAGGGCCUCUACCCAACAGACCAUGCCGAUGUUUAUAGUCUUGUGGUGCCCAUCAAGAAGCGUAAGACUUUAUGUCCUUGCUGCUGCUGCCGCUGCUGAUGUUGUUUGUUCCUCCCUCCUCCGCGCCACUCACUUCGCUCCCCUGCCGCUUCACGCCCUGUUAUUUCCUCGCUUCCUAUUAAGCAGGUCACGUUUCGUUCGAAGCA